This 319-nucleotide ribosomal RNA is filed under the name uncultured eukaryote. RNAcentral's name for it is "partial 18S ribosomal RNA". It matches the Rfam family "Eukaryotic small subunit ribosomal RNA", at positions 1470 to 1796 of the family's 1831-position model. The record is from RNAcentral.
CCCUUAGAUGUUCUGGGCAGCACGCGCGCUACAAUGGUCUUCGCAAACGGAUGCAUUCUCGAAGGAGAAUGCCAAUCUUGGAAUCUAUGCCUUGGUCGGGACAGUUGCUUGCAAUUUUUCGACUCGAACCAGGAAUUCCUUGUAAUCGUGAUUCAUCACAUCACGAUGAAUACGUCCCUGCCCUUUGUACACACCGCCCGUCGCUCCUACCGAUCGAAGAGUUAGGUGAAUUGUUUUGAUCGAUAAGAUUUGACUAUGGUCAACUCUCGUUGUGAAAUUCUGUGAAUCUGACUGUUUAGAGGAAGGAAAAGUUGUAACA